RNAcentral lists this non-coding RNA (167 nucleotides) under Zea mays. RNAcentral's name for it is "Bacterial large subunit ribosomal RNA". It matches the Rfam family "Bacterial large subunit ribosomal RNA", at positions 2104 to 2268 of the family's 2925-position model. Lineage: Eukaryota; Viridiplantae; Streptophyta; Magnoliopsida; Poales; Poaceae. The record is from Rfam by way of RNAcentral.
CUGUUCCCUAGGAUUGGCUUUGGGUUCUUUCUGCGUAGCUUAGGUGGAAGGCGAAGAAGGCCCCCCUUCCGGGGGGCCCGAGCCAUCAGUGAGAUACCACUCUGGAAGAGCUCGGCUUCUAACCUUGUGUCACACCCUCAGGCCAAGGGACAGUCUCUCGUAGACAG